Molecule: long non-coding RNA, 1980 nt
Filed under: Chloebia gouldiae (Gouldian finch)
Lineage: Eukaryota; Metazoa; Chordata; Aves; Passeriformes; Passeridae
Description: Erythrura gouldiae (Gouldian finch) lncRNA (ENSEGOG00005003005.1)
Source: RNAcentral
AGAACUGUUGAACUGUUAAGAACCACUGCACCAAGGAGGCUGAGGGUCCGCGGGGAGCGCGGCGGGGCGGGGGCGCGCUCCGCGCCCGCUGCUGCCCCGGGCUUGGCUCUUCCUUUCGCCGCGGCGGACCUGGGGACGAGACAGAACACACGGGACUGGCGGGCGGGCGGCGACAGCGCCCGGGGACAGCCCGGCCCGGCCCGGCCCCGCACGCCCGCCCGCACUCCUCGCUCAGCGCCGCCACUUACUGAUGGCCACCGUCCCGCGAGCAUCCCCGGCCGUGCGCCGGGGCUGGGAGAGCUUGACGGCAACACGCUCUCGUUACAAAGUGGAAAGAAAAACAACAACAACAACAAAAAAAUAACCCAAAACAACCAACCAACCAAAAAAAAAAAGUUUAAAAAGAACAAACGAAACAAAACCAGCCAUUCUCCAGAGGGGCCUGGCGGCAGCCCGGGCCGGGCCCCGCGGCCGCUCCCCGCCGCCCGUGCGCCGCGGCCGCCCCUGUGCCGCGCCUGGCGCGCGGGGCCCUUUUAUACCCGCGCGGGACCUCGCGGGGAUGAGCCGUCCCCUGCGCGGCAGCCUGGAAUGCUGCCCUCGCCCCUCACACGACCAGUUUUUCCAGGCUGCCUUCGCACUGACGGGGCGGUUUUGUUUCCAGCCAUCAUCUGGGGCGGCCGAACGUCAGCAGGUAGAGAAGGACAAACCUGUUCCGAGGCGGCGCGUUUCCUCCCUCCCUCUCUCCUCCCGCCGCCCUCCUGCCCUCCGCCCUGCCACCGGGGGAAACUGCUCGACAGGUUUCGCCGAAGCUGGAGGUGGCUCCGGGGACUAAACAGGUCCAGCUUCCUUGGUCUACUCAUAAAAGAGAUGCUCCAGUCUUCUGAUGUGGCCUCUGCUGGACCCUCUGCAGUAGCUCCUUGUCUGUCUUGUACUGUGGAGUCCAGAACUGGACACAGAGAUGUGUGCAUGAUAAAUUAAUCCACCAAGUCCUCUUCUGCAAUCAGCUCUCCCUCACCUUUUAAUAUGUGGAGUCUCAUCUAAUUUCACUUUUAAGCCCUUAAAACCAGGAUUUGGGACUGUCAAACACCAAGCACAAGAAGCUAAUGAGAUCUACAACAGUGGCACUAGAGGAGAAACACAUUAAUUGUGCACAUAAACACGUAAUGAUGAGGCUUAUCUGUACUCAGAAGUGCUGCUGAGGAUACUUAGCAGGCAGCUUUGGCCAGGCAAUAUCUCCCCUGGCCACCAUUCUUCUGAUCCCAUGUGGAGGCUGAGGAGAUGUGAAGGAGUACUGUGGCUUGAGAGAGUGGUUAUUUAUUGCUGUGGUAUUUACUGCUGCUGCAAGACAGGGAAUGAUCCCUCAGCCUUUUCCUGCCUCGUUGUGCAACGUGCCACGCAGCAGGUCGCGCAAUGCCGAGGCCUGGCAGGGUCUGCCUACGGAGGUGGCUGCGGAGCAAAGCUGCAGGAUGUUGUUGGUUGGCACCUUCCCAUGGAUUCCCUGUGAUGUGCAGCAGCAUCCUGGAGUGGGAGGAAGGUGCUGGUGUGAAGCUCAAAAUGCCAGUGGGAGUGCGCAAGAUAUGCAGCGGCUGAGCGUGUCCCAACAGGAGAGCCCUGGCAGGGCAGGCUGAGGGGGAAAGGGGCACAGCCUCUGCCCUGCCAGCCUGUGUUAUAACCUCCCGCUAUGCCAGUGCCAGAUUUGGACAUCAAGGACCAAAUCUUUUGACCCUGAGAUUUGAAUCAACUCUUCCCAACUGGAGCCAUGUUAAGUAGUGCUGUUUAGUGUGGUUCGCACUAGACGUUUUGCUGCAAUGAUUCAGGAUUCUUGUCUCAGCUACACUUUUGAGACACGGGCUUCUGGUUCUUCCCAUUCAGCUGAUCACAGGUAAACAAAUGUAUGUAUAAUGAAGUCUCUAAAGUAAUUUUCAGAUAGACACUUUGCAAAAUAAUAAAUCAGGUAGUACGAGAUUUUAUUCUGACUCA